This 484-nucleotide ribosomal RNA is filed under the name uncultured bacterium. RNAcentral's name for it is "partial 16S ribosomal RNA". It matches the Rfam family "Bacterial small subunit ribosomal RNA", at positions 30 to 507 of the family's 1533-position model. The record is from RNAcentral.
AUUGAACGCUAGCGGGAUGCUUUACACAUGCAAGUCGAACGGCAGCGCGGACUUCGGUCUGGCGGCGAGUGGCGAACGGGUGAGUAAUGUAUCGGAACGUGCCCAGUAGCGGGGGAUAACUACGCGAAAGCGUAGCUAAUACCGCAUACGCCCUACGGGGGAAAGCAGGGGAUCGUAAGACCUUGCAUUAUUGGAGCGGCCGAUAUCGGAUUAGCUAGUUGGUGAGGUAACGGCUCACCAAGGCGACGAUCCGUAGCUGGUUUGAGAGGACGACCAGCCACACUGGGACUGAGACACGGCCCAGACUCCUACGGGAGGCAGCAGUGGGGAAUUUUGGACAAUGGGGGCAACCCUGAUCCAGCCAUCCCGCGUGUGCGAUGAAGGCCUUCGGGUUGUAAAGCACUUUUGGCAGGAAAGAAACGUCGCGGGCUAAUACCCCGUGGAACUGACGGUACCUGCAGAAUAAGCACCGGCUAACUACGUG